Asterias rubens (European starfish) is the source of this 414-nucleotide long non-coding RNA. RefSeq lists it as uncharacterized. NCBI's taxonomy places the organism in Eukaryota, Metazoa, Echinodermata, Asteroidea, Forcipulatida, Asteriidae. The record is from RefSeq and is a predicted model, not a curated record. The transcript has 3 exons.
AGUGUCUUACCAACUAGACCACCGAGAUUGCCCGGUUUGUUUCUGUAGUUUAUUGUUUUAGGAGAUAUUGUCUGGCUUGAUGGAAAUGGGUAAACAUUUUGGGUGUCUGAAGGACCACUUGGUGUCUGUGGGUGUUUGGAAAUGGUUGUAGAAUUCAUUGAGGUGUAUUGGCUGAACCAAAGGAGAUGGUAUUCGCAGGUGCCUGCAGGAAUCAAAGAUAGUGUUUUGAGGAUUGCCUACGUAACAUCCUGGAAGCCGUGGACCAUCUUCUGACAAAGAGGGCAGUAACACUCGGGUGUAUUGAGCCAGGUGAGAUGGAGUCCAGCUUCGUUGAUGAUGGGGGCUCCCAUAGCUCCUCACCCCCAUGCACACCAGAGGAAAUCCUCAUUCCAUUCCAUGCCCUCCAUGGACAUG